UUCAUGGAGAGUUUGAUCCUGGCUCAGGACGAACGCUGGCGGCGUGCUUAACACAUGCAAGUCGAACGAUGAAGCCCUUCGGGGUGGA
This 88-nucleotide non-coding RNA is filed under the name Streptomyces sp. NPDC000075. Its description in RNAcentral is "partial 16S ribosomal RNA". It matches the Rfam family "Bacterial small subunit ribosomal RNA", at positions 1 to 90 of the family's 1533-position model. The record is from RNAcentral. RNAcentral also lists the same sequence under 8 other names. Lineage: Bacteria; Bacillati; Actinomycetota; Actinomycetes; Kitasatosporales; Streptomycetaceae.